RNAcentral lists this ribosomal RNA (253 nucleotides) under uncultured bacterium. RNAcentral describes it as "partial 16S ribosomal RNA". It matches the Rfam family "Bacterial small subunit ribosomal RNA", at positions 524 to 776 of the family's 1533-position model. The record is from RNAcentral.
UACGUAGGGGGCUAGCGUUGUCCGGAAUCAUUGGGCGUAAAGAGCGUGUAGGCGGCUCGGUAAGUCCGCUGUAAAAGUCAAAGGCUCAACCUUUGAAUGUCAGUGGAUACUGCCGGGCUAGAGUCCGGAAGAGGCGAGUGGAACUCCUGGUGUAGCGGUGGAAUGCGCAGAUAUCAGGAAGAACACCAACGGCGAAGGCAGCUCGCUGGGACGGUACUGACACUGAGACGCGAAAGCGUGGGUAGCGAACAGG